CCUACGGUGUGCAGCAGUGGGGAAUAUUGGGCAAUGGGCGCAAGCCUGACCCAGCAACGCCGCGUGAAGGAAGAAGGCUUUCGGGUUGUAAACUUCUUUUCUCAGGGACGAAGCAAGUGACGGUACCUGAGGAAUAAGCCACGGCUAACUCCGUGCCAGCAGCCGCGGUAAUACGUAGGUGGCAAGCGUUAUCCGGAUUUAUUGGGUUUAAAGGGUGCGCAGGCGGAAUGUCAAGUCAGCGGUAAAAUUUCGGGGCUCAACCCCGUCGUGCCGUUGAAACUGGCGUUCUUGAGUGAGCGAGAAGUAUGCGGAAUGCGUGGUGUAGCGGUGAAAUGCAUAGAUAUCACGCAGAACUCCGAUUGCGAAGGCAGCAUACCGGCGCUCAACUGACGCUCAUGCACGAAAGCGUGGGUAUCGAACAGGAUUAGAUACCCCGGUAGUC
This 442-nucleotide ribosomal RNA is filed under the name uncultured bacterium. RNAcentral's name for it is "partial 16S ribosomal RNA". It matches the Rfam family "Bacterial small subunit ribosomal RNA", at positions 338 to 795 of the family's 1533-position model. The record is from RNAcentral.